RNAcentral lists this ribosomal RNA (440 nucleotides) under uncultured bacterium. RNAcentral describes it as "partial 16S ribosomal RNA". It matches the Rfam family "Bacterial small subunit ribosomal RNA", at positions 338 to 795 of the family's 1533-position model. The record is from RNAcentral.
CCUACGGGUGGCAGCAGUGGGGGAUAUUGCACAAUGGGGGAAACCCUGAUGCAGCGACGCCGCGUGUGGGAAGACGGUCCUCUGGAUUGUAAACCACUGUCCCCAGGGACGAAGAUGACGGUACCUGGGGAGGAAGCUCCGGCUAACUACGUGCCAGCAGCCGCGGUAAUACGCAGGGAGCGAGCGUUGUCCGGAAUUACUGGGUGUAACGGGAGCGUAGGCGGGACUGCAAGUUGGGUGUCAAAUCUACCGGCUCAACCGGUAGCCGCACUCAAAACUGCAGUUCUUGAGUGAAGUAGAGGCAGGCGGAAUUCCUAGUGUAGCGGUGAAAGGCGUAGAUAUUAGGAGGAACACCAGUGGCGAAGGCGGCCUGCUGGGCUUUUACUGACGCUGAGGCUCGAAAGUGUGGGGAGCAAACAGGAUUAGAUACCCUUGUAGUC